This is a long non-coding RNA of Cyprinus carpio (common carp), 879 nucleotides long. RefSeq lists it as uncharacterized. The record is from RefSeq and is a predicted model, not a curated record. The transcript has 3 exons. NCBI's taxonomy places the organism in Eukaryota, Metazoa, Chordata, Actinopteri, Cypriniformes, Cyprinidae.
UUAACCUGUACACUCACCAGAUGACAGGUGAAGAAGACGUAUCAGACGGCUGGUUUUCGGAUAAUUAGAAAUCCAGACAAAUGGAAGAAAACAAUUGAGUUUUCCUUCUGAAUACAAUUAACAGUAUGUCAAACCCUCCGUUUCCAAGAAAAGAAGUCAGAUCACUAGUCGGAUGUGUCACGUGCUUAAAUUACCUGGACUACUUGUAUUAACUGCGUCAUGACAACGAAGUUGGUUAUCUUUUUUCUCAAGUCUGAUAUCAACCAUAUUUGUCAGCAAAACGGAAAAAAACGAAAUAUUUUGUUUGGUUCCUGUUUACUUUUAUUGUAAGUGCCUUUCUUUAGUAAUCCAGUACGUUACUUUACAAAUGCUGUCGACUGAAUUUAACCCAGAGAAUUCAUUUAAAGCCACAUGUCCUGUCUUUUGACAUAGCUAUAAAAAUACUACAUACCUGCCAGAUGAUUUCUUCGGGUUUUAGUGACUGGGUUACCAGAGGUCACAUCUGCUAACAAGGAGUUCUGUUUCAUUCCCCCCUUGUCUUUCCUUCAGGUGGUGCCAAAUAAUGACUACAUUUUAUUACCAGACGCCUCCAGUAGUUCCUUGUCUUUCCGCCAGGUGGUGCCAAACCUUCACUUAAUAAUGGCUAUACGUCACACUGACGGUAGUUUGAUUUUUUCACGCAAAGUUUUAACAUGAGGAGAAGCUCUUCCAGAAGAAGAGUUUGCAUGGAGACUUAGGGGUAACGCGUCACCAUUCCAGACCACAAGGACCAGAGGAAACAGGCUCAGCAUCAUCCGCAUUAUCAACAUGCUUCUCUCGACCGCUGUACGAUUGUCCCAUCUAACUCCCAUCGUCAUGUUUUAGAGAGGUACCUUCACA